AAACUUUCAACAAUGGAUCUCUUGGUUCCGGCAUCGAUGAAGAACGCAGCGAAUGCGAUAACUAGUGUGAAUUGCAGAAUUCCGUGAAUCAUCGAGUCUUUGAAACGCACAUUGCGCCCCCUGGUAUUCCGGGGGGCAUGCCUGUCCGAGCGUCAUU
RNAcentral lists this ribosomal RNA (157 nucleotides) under Aspergillus flavus. Its description in RNAcentral is "5.8S ribosomal RNA". It matches the Rfam family "5.8S ribosomal RNA". Rfam says of the family: 5.8S ribosomal RNA (5.8S rRNA) is a component of the large subunit of the eukaryotic ribosome. It is transcribed by RNA polymerase I as part of the 45S precursor that also contains 18S and 28S rRNA. Lineage: Eukaryota; Fungi; Ascomycota; Eurotiomycetes; Eurotiales; Aspergillaceae. The record is from RNAcentral.